Long non-coding RNA from Alnus glutinosa, 675 nucleotides. RefSeq lists it as uncharacterized. The transcript has 4 exons. The record is from RefSeq and is a predicted model, not a curated record. Lineage: Eukaryota; Viridiplantae; Streptophyta; Magnoliopsida; Fagales; Betulaceae.
UUUCUCAUGGAAAACUUGGAGUAAAUUUCAACCAUUGAAAAAUUGAAAGAUUUGGGUUUAUUUGACUGAUGGGUAUUAAUUGAAUUUGAUUGUGAUUGUUGUUGAUGGGUUUUUGUGAGAUAUAAUUGAGUUUGUAGCUUGCAGGUUUAUGAUCCUGUGGAGUUUUGGGUUUGAAUUCGUCGCAUCUACUCUAAUAUCAUAUUAAAUCAUGGACUAUUGAAGGAUAAUGCAGAUGGUAUAAAGCAUUGGGCAUAUGGAGGUGACUUUGUGGGGAUAUUCCUAAUGAUUUGAAUUUCUGUUUGAAUGGGAUUAUGUGGCCAGAUCGAACUCCUCAUCCUGCAGUACAUGAAGUCAAGUAUCUCUAUCAACCGAUCAAGGUUUCAUUAGAGAAAGGAACACUUAAGAUAACAAACACCCAAUUUUUUGAAACAAUACAAGGAUUGGAAUUCAGCUGGCCUGCUAAUGGGGAUGGAUGUGAACUUGGAACUGGAGUUUUAUCUCUUCCACUGAUAGAACCACAGAGCAGUUUUGGUAUUGGAUGGAAGUCGGGUCCAUGGUAUUCUCUGUGGGAUUCAUAGAAAUUAAGCCUAACUAGAUUCAAAUUCAUUUUGCAACUUUAUUUUCUGAAUGCACUCAAAACUGGAAUCAAUUUCAAAACAUUUUCAACUUUAAGUA